Molecule: ribosomal RNA, 804 nt
Filed under: Triticum aestivum (bread wheat)
Lineage: Eukaryota; Viridiplantae; Streptophyta; Magnoliopsida; Poales; Poaceae
Description: partial small subunit ribosomal RNA
Source: RNAcentral
AUGCAUCUAUUACUAGAUGACAAGAAAGAGCUAAUAAAUGCGCGGAGGCGGGCAACGUAUCUUAAGAACAAGGAAAAUGCUGACAUUAACAAGGAACAGAUGAAAGCUCCGUUGGUAGAUGGUUAUCGAAGAAAAUAUGAUGACACCGCCGGCAAGCAUCUCCAUCAAAAUAUGCCUGCCGUUGACAUGUCGGGUAUGCAAAAUGUUCCACAGAGCGCUCUCGGUGAUAUCACUAAUGGGGUACAAGCUCACCCUAUGCUCCUUGCCGACAAAAAUAGCCAGAUCAAGGCUCAAGGGCGAGCUACCGUGAAGCACAAAGAUGAUAACCUUCCUGCCCUUACAAUAUCAGCCGACCCAAAUAGGUCCAGCUAUACGUCAUUGUCACAAGAUGAGGCGGUAUUGCCUCAUAUUAAUAUAAUCAGUACAGCUGUCAUUCAUGAUAACCAACUACCUAGGAAGCAGCGUGAUAAUGCAGACGAAAUCGAUGGGUUCCGAGACUGCAUCACUAGCGAUGAGACGACACCAUCCGACUUUAUGGAUGAGGAGUACUACAUGUUUCGCGACGAAGGAUACGAUAAUGACACCUUGGAGGAUGAAGAGGAAGCGAUCAUGUCGUCUGCUAUACCUAGCGAGGUUGAUCCAUUAGACUUUGUCUACACAAACAUCCCAGACACGACUCACAUCCUGAAGCUCGACGCAAACUGCAAACACCGCAAGGCAAAAAAAACGUGUUUGAGACUGACGGCUUCUGCUGUCGCAAUGGCCAGAUCGAACUUAAACAACCUGAGCCAAUCCCAGAGCUGA